CUAUGAACAAUUCAUAGCCGCUUUAUUGAAAAUGAUUAUAUAAAAAUCAAUAAUAACAUAUUUUAAUCAUCAGAAUAAUACUAGAGUUCACUUUGAUUUAUAUAUUGAUGUUCAAUUGCCAGUAAAGGUGGCAGGACUACACGCCAGGAGGUGUGUAUAACUAAUUAAACCACAAAAUCUAAUUAUAGCUGGCAGGCCUGGUGGGAGGAGGUGGGUAAGUUCAAGUGUUUCGCUCUGAUACAAGUCGUGUGGACUUAUGAAAUUACUUGUGCUAUAUCUUCGUUAUAUGCCAAGAAUCCGACCUUGAUCUUGGCACUGUUACGUAGUUUUAGGCACUGAAAUUUCCUGCCUCUUCAACCGGCGCGCCAUAGAUUAAGGUAAAGCUAUUAUGUCAUCUAAUCGUGUCAAUCCAGGCGUGACAUAAAAAUCCAUAUUUCCUGGGAAAUAUUUUUAUUUAUGUCCCGCCUUCCUUCAGUUAAUAAACUA
Non-coding RNA from Paramuricea clavata, 486 nucleotides. Lineage: Eukaryota; Metazoa; Cnidaria; Anthozoa; Malacalcyonacea; Plexauridae. The record is from the annotation of a GenBank genome assembly.